GAAAUAUUUAUUAAAGCUGUAUCUUAAUUUUAAUUUUUUUGCUUCUGUGUUUCCGGACUUUUGUGUCUUUCCCGCUCUUUGGACUUCAUGCUUGGAUUUCUUGAUCAGCUUUCGUAAGGUCUGGACUGCAGGCCUACAGGUCUACAGUGAAGCCUUGUACGGUCCAUCCUGCUGGAAAUAUCAUCAGAAUUUCAAACAAAUGAAGUCAGCGCCAAAGAAAUUCCAGCAGAUGUGGAUUUUGAAAUUGGAUGAAAGCAUGGGGUUGAGACAGGUGCCAGGUGGACGUCGGUGGAGGAUGUGUAAAUUUAGACAGUGCCCGAGCAGAGCAGAGUCAAUACCCCUACAUUUGUGCAUCACCAAACACCUCCUGUUGAAGGCACAUCCGUUUUGUUUCCAUAUUCAAGCAUGUCCUGAGGUAGAAAUGUCACCUGGGCUGAAAGUAGUGCAUCAAAGAAGGACAGAGAAUUCUUUGUAUUAUUUUGGCAAGGUCAGUUUCCUUUUUCUUGACACUAACGUCCAUGUAACACUUGGACGUUUUCACUCUGUGCUUUGUCCUUGCUUUGAAAGAAAAGGCCCGGCUGAUUGGAGAAGACAGGUGACUGUUUGAGUUUGGGGUGAAGCCAAAGCCAAAGCAUUUUCCUUCACAAGGACAGUGGUGAAAGGAGGGCAAAGGGUGCCAUUCCAUCUGUGGGAGGUACAAUUCACAGUGGCAGACGAGCAAAACACCUGGGCUCUGGAGUACUGAUUUAAGACCUUGACGUUUACUUAGUUUUACUCAAGUUUUUUGUUUUUUUGGAAUUUGCAGACUCACUGUUAGAAGGAGUCAGUGAGGGAAAUGUGUGUUUCCUGCUCUCAGCAUAUUUUGCAUGUUAAUUACUGCCUUACAUUUCCCAUUAAGACCUGAUACAGUGCACUGCACUCUGCAUAAAAAAAAAAAAAAAGACGACGAGAAAACUGUAAAUAAAGUGUUUCGCACUUCAUUUAGGAAUAUUUUAGUGACGGGUGUUGGACAAAGUUAUUAGAAGAAAAGGGAACUUAAAUAUAAAUAUAUGAAUAAAAAUGUUGGUUGUGGUUUUAUCACCUUUUAUUCAUCCUGUUUUACUAUAAGAGUUAGGGCAUAUAUUUUCACUCUUUAAUCACUUAUAUUUACAGUAUUUAAACCCUAAUUUAGUAACAUUUGUUAACUAAUUAGAUACUUGUAAUUCAAAAUGGGGAAAAUCUUUUAAUGAUUUAAUAUGCAAUAAAACGAAUUCCGCUUUUUUCUCUGACUAAUGUAAUGCUACUGAUUUAAAAUGAACUGUUACAGAAGUUGAAAAACACUGGUUCAGAUAUAAUAGUAGAGCAAAAAAAAUCUUGCUGAAAAGCAGUAGUUUAGCCUUUAGCAUUUGUCACUUCCCCACGUUUUGAGCAGCAUGCCUGCUGGGCUGAGAUCACAGCUACUUUAUUUGAUAUCAGUGUUUGAAAUGUGAUGUCAACACCGUCGGCCAAUUAUUAAAAAAGUAAAUACGUACGCUUUUACACUAAUAGUGUACACAAUCUCUAGCCGCUAUGAAUUCCUUGCUAGCUGAAGAGGUCAUUUUCAAGCAACAAGAAAGUUAGCAACACUGCUAACGCUACAACCAAGAUAUUACAGUGACAGCGGUGAGACACGCCCACUAUGAACAGCAGAUAGACGAUUGGCUCGGAUGGCGUCAUGUGCACUGAACCCUUGUUCUGAGCAGCUCACCUCUGAGUUCACCUCUAUUUCAAACCUGUCUCAUUCAAUUGCCUCAGACUGUUUCAGGUCCCACAAUCACCCCAGUCCGCGAAAACCAGCGGCACCGCACCAUAGAUAUAUAUACCAUAGAAUCUACAGUAAAGCUUCACCAGUGAGAAGGAACAUAAAUUACAAGGAGUAAAGAAUCUGUUUACAUCAAAGGUACUUCAUGCACUCUCCGUGAUGUCAUGGCUGACUGGCACUACAUGUAAGAUGGAUGACUUUCUCCCAAAGAACCUAGAGGAGUCAGGAGGCACAUCAAUCGUAACAGCAGAACGACCUGAUAAAGAUGACAGUGUUGAAACACCAGUGGCUAUCUGUAGAUGUAAGUCUCUGUGGGUUAAAUAGAUUUUAAAGAUCUUAUUAGAUGGUAGUUUAUUGACAAAAUGUUGGAGAAAAAAAAUUCUGGCACCAGCAAAUUGGUCAAAGGUUGACGAAGGACAGUGAGAUAGGACCAAACACAGAGCGAUAGAUAGGCAACGUCAGCGAUCAAGUGUGUGAUUUGUGUUGAUGAAAAGUGCGAAAGCAUAUGUAUAAGAUUGACACUGAAGGGUCAGCCUCUCUGAAAUGUGAAUAAAUAAACUAGAAAAGAAAAGAACACAAGUCAAAGUUGCAUGUGGAGGAAGAGAAAAGGAUAAUUGGUCUCUGAGGACGUGAUACAUGAUCUGAUCUCUGCUCUGGAAUGGUUCUGUGCUGUUUUAGAAUUUACAUUCACAGUAGUGCUGGCACCAAGCCCAGCUUGAUCAACUCUCGCACAUUUGUACUUACAUAACACUUAAGAGAAUAAAGACAUAAACUCAGGUAGUGCACGUCAGCAGCACUGGAGUGCUCCAUACAGUAAG
This is a long non-coding RNA of Cynoglossus semilaevis (tongue sole), 2598 nucleotides long. RefSeq lists it as uncharacterized. The transcript has 3 exons. The record is from RefSeq and is a predicted model, not a curated record. NCBI's taxonomy places the organism in Eukaryota, Metazoa, Chordata, Actinopteri, Pleuronectiformes, Cynoglossidae.